This 4554-nucleotide long non-coding RNA is filed under the name Homo sapiens (human). Its description in RNAcentral is "non-protein coding WDFY3-AS2:17". The record is from RNAcentral. Lineage: Eukaryota; Metazoa; Chordata; Mammalia; Primates; Hominidae.
AUAAUCGAAGGGCUUCCAGCGUAGGGCGUAGGGGGAGAGGCCCGAAGCCCUGGAGACAGCGCCCGAGGGAUGGAGGCCGCGCUCGGCUGCGCUCAGGUCCGGGUGGCUCCGGGAGCUGAGACCCCGCAGGAUGCAGCGGGGGGGGGCCAGGGCCUGAUCCCCUACCCCUGCGAGCCAGGGCCGCCUACGCCCCCACUGCUUCCCACAGGUAACGUCCAGCCCUCUCCUCCCCUAUCCCCCGAAAUAUCCCGGUUCCGCUCCGCUCCGCUCGCCGCCCGUGACCCCGACCCCGACCCGUCCGCGACGGCGCCCUCCCCAGGAGGCAGCGGAGGACUAGGGCCAGGCCGCCCACCCUGGCGGCGGCGGCGGCUCCCGGCCAAGGCGGACCCUGGGGAGGACAGCAGCUGGGCCGCGGCCUGUCCCUAGGGGGAGCGGGCGCAGGGCCGCGAGUGGGCAGCGCCUCCGCCCCGCACGAACAAAGCGGCCAGGCGCGCCGGGCCGAGGCAGCACCGCCUCUCCGGGAGCGCGGGGGGCGGGGAGGAUGGCGGGGGUACUCACCUGAGGGCCGGCGGAGGGCGCGGGCGGGACAGGCCCAGGAGACGGGACCGCGGCGGGCCGGGGCUCCGCGCCGAGGGCGCACGGGCUACGGGGAAGGGGCGACCGGCGCGACGUCCGCGGCGGGGCCCGGGAGCCCCGCGCCGCGGGCCGGGGGCCGGGGCCCGAGCUCGAUUCUGCGGCCGCGAGGUAUGGGAACCGGUCCGCCGGGCCAGGCAGCGGUGCUAGGCAGCAGGGGCAGCGACGCCGCCGCCUUUCCCUUCUCCUGCCCCCGUCCCUGCUCCGCCGCGUCCUCGUCCUCGCUGGGUCCCCGCCGCCGCCGCCUCAGCCUCGGCGCUCCUCGGGUUUCUUCUCUCCAUCAAGGCCGGGCCGACCCGCAGGGACCAUCCCGGAAAGUGAGGGGUUGUUGCCGUUUCCCGCAGCUGUUGGUGGCCAUCUUUAAUCCUCCUCCUCCUCCUGCUUUCUCCACCUCCCGCUGGCUGUCUGACUGACUGACUGGAUCCUCCUCUUUCCCCUCCUGCUCCUCCUACUGAGCCGGCCGCAGAAAUUGCAGCCGCUCAGCUUCUACCCCCUCCUGCCUUUCCUUCCUCUUUCCUUACUUCCUUCCCUUCCCUCGGCUUCCCGCUCUUGCCUCACUCUCAGCGGCUGCCUUCGCCCCUGUCUGCAGACAGCGCCGCUGGAUGCUCCCAGCUGGACUUCAACCCCACUCCUCUCAGUCCCUCUCCCCACUGCCUUCCAGACGCGCCUCUUCCCCGCCCCGCGCCCCUCUCUCCUCUCCCACCCCUGCCCCUCUCCGCGGCGCUCACCCUCCUCAGUCCCAGUUUCUGAAAGGACUCAGCUGAGAAAGGACAACUGGGUUCCGCUUUCCUUAACCCUACACCCUUUAGCUGGAUGCUGUCAGAGGCGAUGGAGAAACGCAAAGGCUACUAGACGCAACAAUAGAAUUACCAUAUUGUUUUUCCUGGUUUGAAAGGACCAGAUGGAAAGAAACUGGGCAAGCCAAUGAAAGUCUCUGGGGAUCAUGGGAAUUGAGUGUCUAUGAAAACCAUAUUCCAGACAAGAAUAUAGUCUAAGGUUUAUGGGACUCCCCAGUACUCUCCAUGUAGAGUCUAAUGUAGAAUCCAGGAGUGCACAGAAAAGUCACUGGAUGACACAGCAAGAGGCAACAUUUUGGAAGCAGAGGGCAACUCUCACUGGAAACCAAAUCUCCUGGCACCUUGAUCUUGGAUUUUACAGCCUCCAGAACUGAUAGCUGGGAGGCAUUACAUAGUCAUGUGCGAGGUCAAAACUGAGUCACCACCACAACCAAGUUCCAGCUGGCAAGAAGAGGAAAAAUAACACAGAGGAGUUAUGACCAGUGUUGUAAGGAUCUGGCCUAGAAAUGGCAUGCAUCUCUUCCACUAAUAUCCUAUUGGUAAAAAUGUAGUCACAUGGGCACACCACCUAUCUGCAUGGAAGGCUGGGAAAUGUUGAUCGGUAGGGCAGCCAUAUGUGUAGGAAGGAGAAAACAGAAUUUGGUGGAUACCUAGUAGUCUCUGCCAUACCCUUGACCAGAAAUUUUUCUUCUAAAGAAUUUAAUUCUAAAAGUUAUAGACAUUCCCAAAGAUAUACCUGCAAGCAUCACAGCUUUGUGUAUAAUUGCAAAAGUUGAAAUCAACAUGAAUGCCCAAAAUAGUGAAUUAUUUAAACAGAUUAUUACCCAUAUUAUGAAGAAAUACUCUGCAACUCUUAAAAAUAAAUGUAAUGUGCCAGGCGCAAUGGGAUAUGCCUGCAGGCCCAGCUACACGGGAGGCCAAGGCAGGAGGAUCACUUGAAAUCAAGAGUUCAAGUCUAGCCUAGACAACAUAGUGAGACUUGGUCUCUAAAAAAGAAAAAAAAAAAUAAAACUGAUGUAAUGAAUAUAUAAUUACAACAAAAGAGGUCUAACACUAUAGUAGAAAAGUUUGGGGCACUCAUCCCAUUCAUAAUUAUUUUACAUUUAAAUUACUGUUCCUACUUAAGUGGUGAGCUUGGUAACCAUUUUCAUAUCAGGUGAUACUGCUGCAGUAAUCAUAGCUGUUUGAAUCAGGAAUAAUCCCAAUCACAUUUUCUCUUAAUCGUUUAUUAUACUGGGCAUUGGGGUUGCAAGAUAAUGCACAGUCCGAGCUCAAUACAUGUCUUCAUGUACCUGUAUGUAAAUCCCACUUUUAUUCUAAAAUUCUUUGAAUAUUUUGUUUCUUGGAACCCAAUGAUCCUAAGAAAAUUAUGUACUUUUACCUGAAAAUUAAAACCAAUAUUUAUAAAAAGUGUAUAUGCAGUAUGAUACCACUUUUAAAAAAAGAUAAAUUUAUAGAAAAAAGUUUAUAUGACUGACAACAAUGUCUCUGAGUGGUAGGAUUACAGUUAAUUUUUAUUUUCUUCAUUCUACUUAUCUUUAUUUUCUGAACUUUCUACAAUGAACAUGUUUUAUUUUUACUUUUGUUAAAAUAAAUAACAUUUAAUUUGACGGAAAAUUCUAAAAAUCAACAUUUGGUAACUUAAAUAUUCAUUGGCACAUGAUUCUGUGCCUGUUUCUGGGGGUCAUUCCCAUGAGAAGAGCAGGUAGAACUUAUGAGAAUAGAGCAGUCGAAAUAUUAUAGGUUUCAUAUUUUACGGCUUUAUUGAAAACAUUGAUAUAUUGAAUAUUCAUAAAUUUUAAUUUAACUUUCUUUUAUAAUCCUUAAUGUGAGGCUAAGGUAUAAGGAGAAAGGAGAUUGGUAAGGAAGUGUGAUACAUAUUGAAUCAGGUGUCAAGGUACCAUUUGUGCCUGGAUCUGACCAAUAGACCAAGGUAAAAAUCUCAAAGAAUGAGACUUGUAAUGAGAAUGCCACAAACUUGAAUACCUUAUGCACAAAACACAAACAUUGUUAUGCAUAAUGUACAUGAACCCUGAAACAAAGAUAAUGAUUUGGACCACCCAACUGAAGUGGCAUGUUAUGUUUUUGGCAUGAACAAAAGAAACAAGAGAGAAAAAAAUCAAAAUAAUUAAAAUAAAUUGUUAGAGAAAAGUUACUUUAAAAAUAGCUAUAACGCUUUGCAAUUUCAGUAACAGUUCUGCCUCUGAUGCAAUGUAAAACAUGUAUUAGACAUUCAGGCUCCACAAUAAAUUUUAAUGAGCACUACAAAUUUAGAAUAUAUAAAAAUAUCAGUAACCUAUGAAUUCAUCAACAUAACUCACUUUUCAGUUAAGUUAGGCUGAGUUGAAAUUCUACUAAGUUUUCCCAUAUUCUUGAUAAAGGCUAAAUUUGAAAUAAUUUAUUUAGAUGACUAAUUGGCAAUUUGAUAGUAGUUACAUUUUAUGUAACACUUGAUAUAAUAACCCAAAUUAAUUAGCUCAAUAUUAUCUUCUGUGGUUUAUUGAUCCAAAAGUACAUAUUUGUUAUGUAAACUUAUACUAUGUAAACUUGAAUUAGUUUUUUGCUUCCUUGAAUUAAUAAAGCCCAUUAAUGCAAAUCUAAGCCUUCAUAGACUUUUCCAAUCCUUAGUUAAAUAUUAAAAACUGAGUAUUGUAGUUAUUUGCUAGGUAUAAAAGGUGACUCAGAGUAGAGAGUAAGAUGUCAGCAAAUAGACAAUAAGAUGUCAGCAAAAGUGCCUCAAAUUUUAACUGCGUCAAGUUAAGGGCAUUGUAAAUACUGUAGUUUUAUGUAGCUUGCAACUUCUACUGAAAUGAGUUUAAUCAUGUCUUUCACAUAGCUGAAGUUUGUGUCAAGAUUUAAGCUGAUUUUCUCAUUCUUAUCAAAGUCUCACCUGGGGGUAGGGAGGGGUAGGCCUACCUCCCACCUCUAUACUAUCAUUUUAGGAACAGACAGGCAUAAAUCUGUUCAUAUGGUAGAACACAUGAUGUUAGAGUAUAUUUUGUUGAAUGCUAUGGAAUAUUAAUAUAAUUAAUUCUAAAAUAUCACCUAAAAUAUGUCAACUGAAGAUCUGACUGUACUAAAUAUGAAAAAUAAAGCAGCACAUACUUUCUCUACUGUUUUCCUG